UGGGGAAUCUUCCGCAAUGGACGAAAGUCUGACGGAGCAACGCCGCGUGAGUGAAGACGGCCUUCGGGGUGUAAAGCUCUGUGAUCCGGGACGAAAGAGCCUGAGGUGAAUAGCCUAAGGAAGUGACGGUACCGGAAAAGCAAGCCACGGCUAACUACGUGCCAGCAGCCGCGGUAAUACGUAGGUGGCAAGCGUUGUCCGGAAUUAUUGGGCGUAAAGCGCGCGCAGGCGGCUUCCUAAGUCCAUCUUAAAAGUGCGGGGCUUAACCCCGUGAUGGGAUGGAAACUGGGAAGCUGGAGUAUCGGAGAGGAAAGUGGAAUUCCUAGUGUAGCGGUGAAAUGCGUAGAGAUUAGGAAGAACACCGGUGGCGAAGGCGACUUUCUGGACGAAAACUGACGCUGAGGCGCGAAAGCGUGGGGAGCAAACAGG
RNAcentral lists this ribosomal RNA (429 nucleotides) under Fusobacteriota bacterium. Its description in RNAcentral is "Fusobacteria bacterium partial 16S ribosomal RNA". It matches the Rfam family "Bacterial small subunit ribosomal RNA", at positions 355 to 776 of the family's 1533-position model. The record is from RNAcentral. Lineage: Bacteria; Fusobacteriati; Fusobacteriota.